Long non-coding RNA from Medicago truncatula (barrel medic), 349 nucleotides. RefSeq lists it as uncharacterized. The record is from RefSeq and is a predicted model, not a curated record. The transcript is spliced from 3 exons. Lineage: Eukaryota; Viridiplantae; Streptophyta; Magnoliopsida; Fabales; Fabaceae.
UCAGAGAUCACAGAAUAAUGAAUUUUCAAAUCUUUCUCAAGUGAGAGCAAUUGGUGAAUUUAGGAAUUUGAUUCAGAACACCUAUUGCAUUACUGUUGGCACAACAAGCAAGUUUAAUCCUAAUCGAUUUGGCUGGUACUAUGAAAGCUGCACCAAAUGCCCAAAAGCUUCAAGGUCAGGUGGUGCUAGCUAUAAGUGUUCAUGUGGAGAGGAUGUCGAAGUUCCGUUGACAAGGUAUAAGGUGGUUGUUCAAGUUGUAUAUGAGGGUGAUAAGUCGGAGUUUGUGUUCUGGGAUAAGGAAUGUGUUCAGAUUCUUGGUGUCACUGCAGAUACUCUUAGAAAAACCAUG